This is a long non-coding RNA of Saimiri boliviensis boliviensis (Bolivian squirrel monkey), 307 nucleotides long. RefSeq lists it as uncharacterized. The record is from RefSeq and is a predicted model, not a curated record. Lineage: Eukaryota; Metazoa; Chordata; Mammalia; Primates; Cebidae.
AGGUCCAUAUACGGACUUUACACCUUGGACAACAGAAGAACAGAAGAUUUUGGAACAAGCUUUGAAAACAUACCCAGUAAAUACACCUGAAAGAUGGGAAAAAAUAGCAGAAGCUGUGCCUGGCAGGACAAAGAAGGACUGCAUGAAACGAUACAAGGAACUUGUUGAGAUGGUAAAAGCAAAGAAAGCUGCUCAAGAACAAGUGCUGAAUGCAAGUAGAGCCAAGAAAUGACUUAAUGACAAUCUUUGUUAUGUGUGCAUUUUUAUAAUAAAACUGAAAAUACUGUAAACAUUUUCAUUCUUAAAA